Triticum urartu is the source of this 163-nucleotide non-coding RNA. The record is from RefSeq and is a predicted model, not a curated record. Lineage: Eukaryota; Viridiplantae; Streptophyta; Magnoliopsida; Poales; Poaceae.
AAAGAAAGAAAAAUCUAGUGGUAGCUCAGAUAAUGACUCGGAUUCAGAUUCAGAUGAACCAGCAAAAUCUACUAUUCCUGCUAAGAGGCCUCUGACAACAGAGAAAAAGAGUGAACAUUCCAAGGAUGAUUCUGAUGAUAGUUCUGAUGAGAGUGACGAAGAG